AGCAUAUCAAUAAGCGGAGGAAAAGAAAAUAACAAUGAUUCCCUUAGUAACGGCGAGUGAAGGGGGAUAAGCUCAAAUUUUAAAUCUGGCUAGGUUUUACCUAUCAGAGUUGUAUUUUGAAGAAGCGUUUUCCGCGUCUCGGUUGACCCAAGUCCUUUGGGAUAAGGUAUCAUGGAGGGUGAGAAUCCCGUUCGGUUGACCUUAUGACGUUUUACGAUGCGCUCUCAAAGAGUCGAGUUGUUUGGGAUUGCAGCUCAAAAUGGGAGGUAAAUUUCUCCUAAGGCUAAAUAUCGGCGAGAGACCGAUAGCGAACAAGUACCGUGAGGGAAAGAUGAAAAGAACUUUGAAAAGAGAGUAAAAUAGUACGUGAAAUUGUUGAAAGGGAAACGAUUGAAGUCAGUCGUACCGACGAGAAAUCAGCUCUUCGAGUGCUAACUUGUGGGCGUGCUUGAGUCUGUAACGGGCCUGGCUGUUUGCAAUGUUUUGUGCUUUUUGGGUGUACUUUUUCGUGUGGUAGGCCAACGUCAGUUUCGAUCACCAUAAAAUGAUCGGGUGAAUGUAGCUUCGAUCUCGUAUUGAAGUGUUAUAGCCUUUGGUAGAUGUGGUGACCGAAACUGAGGAUUGCAACGAAUACCCUUUGGGCUAUCCGUCUGACCUCUGAAAGUUGCUUAGGUGCCGAAAGCUUGCUUACGGUUAUUUAAGUUGACGGUCAACAGGUUAGAACGUGAUUACAUUCGUUAAGGACGU
This 747-nucleotide ribosomal RNA is filed under the name uncultured fungus. RNAcentral's name for it is "eukaryotic LSU rRNA". It matches the Rfam family "Eukaryotic large subunit ribosomal RNA", at positions 37 to 626 of the family's 3401-position model. Lineage: Eukaryota; Fungi. The record is from RNAcentral.